This 869-nucleotide ribosomal RNA is filed under the name Halomonas sp. 707B3. RNAcentral describes it as "bacterial SSU rRNA". It matches the Rfam family "Bacterial small subunit ribosomal RNA", at positions 107 to 965 of the family's 1533-position model. Lineage: Bacteria; Pseudomonadati; Pseudomonadota; Gammaproteobacteria; Oceanospirillales; Halomonadaceae. The record is from RNAcentral.
UGAGUAAUGCAUAGGAAUCUGCCCGAUAGUGGGGGAUAACCUGGGGAAACCCAGGCUAAUACCGCAUACGUCCUACGGGAGAAAGGGGGCUCCGGCUCCCGCUAUGGGAUGAGCCUAUGUCGGAUUAGCUAGUUGGUGAGGUAACGGCUCACCAAGGCAACGAUCCGUAGCUGGUCUGAGAGGAUGAUCAGCCACAUCGGGACUGAGACACGGCCCGAACUCCUACGGGAGGCAGCAGUGGGGAAUAUUGGACAAUGGGCGCAAGCCUGAUCCAGCCAUGCCGCGUGUGUGAAGAAGGCCCUCGGGUUGUAAAGCACUUUCAGCGAGGAAGAACGCCUAGCGGUUAAUACCCGCUAGGAAAGACAUCACUCGCAGAAGAAGCACCGGCUAACUCCGUGCCAGCAGCCGCGGUAAUACGGAGGGUGCAAGCGUUAAUCGGAAUUACUGGGCGUAAAGCGCGCGUAGGUGGCUUGAUAAGCCGGUUGUGAAAGCCCCGGGCUCAACCUGGGAACGGCAUCCGGAACUGUCAAGCUAGAGUGCAGGAGAGGAAGGUAGAAUUCCCGGUGUAGCGGUGAAAUGCGUAGAGAUCGGGAGGAAUACCAGUGGCGAAGGCGGCCUUCUGGACUGACACUGACACUGAGGUGCGAAAGCGUGGGUAGCAAACAGGAUUAGAUACCCUGGUAGUCCACGCCGUAAACGAUGUCGACCAGCCGUUUGGGUGCCUAGCGCACUUUUGUGGCGAAGUUUAACGCGAUAAGUCGACCGCCCUGGGGAGUACGGCCCGCAAGGUUAAAAACUCAAAUUGAAUUGACGGGGGGCCCCGCACAAGCCGGUGGAACCAUGUGGGUUUUAUUUCGAUGCAACGCGAA